UACGAGGGGGGCGAGCGUUGUUCGGAAUUAUUGGGCGUAAAGGGCGCGUAGGCGGUGCGGUAAGUCACCUGUGAAACCUCUGGGCUUAACUCAGAGCCUGCAGGCGAAACUGCCGUGCUGGAGUGUGGGAGAGGUGCGUGGAAUUCCUGGUGUAGCGGUGAAAUGCGCAGAUAUCAGGAAGAACACCCGUGGCUAAGGCGGCUCUCUAGUACGGUACUGACGCUGAGACGCGAAAGCGUGGGGAGCGAACAGG
This 253-nucleotide ribosomal RNA is filed under the name uncultured bacterium. RNAcentral's name for it is "partial 16S ribosomal RNA". It matches the Rfam family "Bacterial small subunit ribosomal RNA", at positions 524 to 776 of the family's 1533-position model. The record is from RNAcentral.